RNAcentral lists this ribosomal RNA (325 nucleotides) under uncultured Deinococci bacterium. RNAcentral's name for it is "bacterial SSU rRNA". It matches the Rfam family "Bacterial small subunit ribosomal RNA", at positions 510 to 844 of the family's 1533-position model. The record is from RNAcentral. Lineage: Bacteria; Thermotogati; Deinococcota; Deinococci.
AGCGCCGCGGUAAGACGUAGGUCCCGAGCGUUGCCCGGAUUUACUGGGCGUAAAGUGCGCGUAAGCGGUUCGGCAAGUCGUCCGUGAAAGCCCGGGGCUCAACCCGGGAGGCCGGGCGAGACUGCCGGGCUAGAGGAGGCAAGGAGGGUGGACGGCCGGAGUACGGUGAAAUGCGUAGAUCCGGCCGAAAUCCCGAUGGCGAAGGCAACCCUCUGGGCCGUUCCUGACGCUGAGGCGCGAAAGCGUGGGGAGCGAACCGGAUUAGAUACCCGGGUAGUCCACGCCCUAAACGAUGCGGGCUAGGUGUCGGGGGGUAUCCCUCGGU